AUAGGAGUCCGGGCGGAGUCUUCCUGCAAUUAAAGUCAAAGGCGAAGUCCGGCUCCCGUAGGAGUCCGGACAAGGCUUACCAGCAGUUGAUGUUGAGGACGGAGCCCGGCUCCCGUAGGAGUCCGGGCGGAGUCUACUUGCGGUUGAAGUCGUGGGCGGAGUCUGACUCCCGUAGGAGUCCGGACGAAGUCUGUCUGCAGCCGUUGGAGUUGAGGACAAGGCCCGACUCCCAUAGGAGUCCGGGCGGAGCAAUGGGAGUUCACCAACAACCGUCGAA
Molecule: long non-coding RNA, 277 nt
Filed under: Elaeis guineensis (African oil palm)
Lineage: Eukaryota; Viridiplantae; Streptophyta; Magnoliopsida; Arecales; Arecaceae
Description: long non-coding RNA (EGUI_LNC007858)
Source: RNAcentral